This 570-nucleotide ribosomal RNA is filed under the name Quaestus valenzuelai. RNAcentral describes it as "partial large subunit ribosomal RNA". It matches the Rfam family "Bacterial large subunit ribosomal RNA", at positions 1830 to 2661 of the family's 2925-position model. The record is from RNAcentral. Lineage: Eukaryota; Metazoa; Arthropoda; Insecta; Coleoptera; Leiodidae.
GUCUUAUUGAUUAUAAUUUUAAGUCUAAUCUGCCCAGUGAUUUAUUAAAUGGCUGCAGUAUUUUAACUGUACAAAGGUAGCAUAAUAAUUAGUUUCUUAAUUAGAAACUGGAAUGAAAGAUUGAACGAGACAAUAACUGUCUUAAUUUGAAUUUAAGAAUUUUAUUUUUAAGUCAAAAAGCUUAAAUUUUUUUAAAAGACGAGAAGACCCUAUAGAAUUUUAUAUUAUUAUUAUAUUUAAAUUUUAGUAUAUAAAUUUUAAAUUUUUUUAAAAGUAUUUAGUUGGGGUGAUUGGAAAAUUUAUUUAACUUUUUUUAUUGUAAAUCAUUUAUUUAUGUUUUUUUGAUCCAAAAUUUUUGAUUAUAAGAUUAAAUUACCUUAGGGAUAACAGCGUAAUUUUUUUAGAGAGUUCUUAUCGAUAAAAGAGAUUGCGACCUCGAUGUUGGAUUAAAGUUAAUUUUUAAUGUAGAAGUUAAAAUAUUAGGUCUGUUCGACCUUUAAAACUUUACAUGAUCUGAGUUUAAAUCGGCGUGAGCCAGGUUGGAUUCUAUCUUUAAUAAGCUUUAAUAUA